RNAcentral lists this transfer RNA (74 nucleotides) under Vacuolaria virescens. RNAcentral describes it as "tRNA-Pro". It matches the Rfam family "tRNA". Rfam says of the family: Transfer RNA (tRNA) molecules are approximately 80 nucleotides in length. The record is from RNAcentral. RNAcentral also lists the same sequence under 2 other names. Lineage: Eukaryota; Raphidophyceae; Chattonellales; Vacuolariaceae.
CGGGAUGUAGCGUAGUUUGGUAGCGCAUCUGCUUUGGGAGCAGAGGGUCACAGGUUCAAAUCCUGUUAUCCCGA